AUUGAACGCUGGCGGCAGGCCUAACACAUGCAAGUCGAGCGGAUGAAGGGAGCUUGCUCCUGGAUUCAGCGGCGGACGGGUGAGUAAUGCCUAGGAAUCUGCCUGGUAGUGGGGGAUAACGUCCGGAAACGGGCGCUAAUACCGCAUACGUCCUGAGGGAGAAAGUGGGGGAUCUUCGGACCUCACGCUAUCAGAUGAGCCUAGGUCGGAUUAGCUAGUUGGUGGGGUAAAGGCCUACCAAGGCGGCGAUCCGUAACUGGUCUGAGAGGAUGAUCAGUCACACUGGAACUGAGACACGGUCCAGACUCCUACGGGAGGCAGCAGUGGGGAAUAUUGGACAAAGGGCGAAAGCCUGAUCCAGCCAUGCCGCGUGUGUGAAGAAGGUCUUCGGAUUGUAAAGCACUUUAAGUUGGGAGGAAGGGCAGUAAGUUAAUACCUUGCUGUUUUGACGUUACCAACAGAAUAAGCACCGGCUAACUUCGUG
This 484-nucleotide ribosomal RNA is filed under the name uncultured bacterium. RNAcentral describes it as "partial 16S ribosomal RNA". It matches the Rfam family "Bacterial small subunit ribosomal RNA", at positions 30 to 507 of the family's 1533-position model. The record is from RNAcentral.